UGCCCUGUGACAAUGUUUAACGGCCGCGGUAUUUUGACCGUGCGAAGGUAGCGUAAUCACUUGUCUUUUAAAUGAAGACCUGUAUGAAAGGCAUCACGAGAGUUUAACUGUCUCUACUUUCUAAUCAAUGAAAUUGAUCUUCUCGUGCAGAAGCGAGAAUACUACCAUUAGACGAGAAGACCCUAUGGAGCUUCAAACACUUAAAUUAAUUAUGUAAAAAUCACAACCCUGCGGGCAAAACUAUUAAUAUAAUAUUUCUAAUUUAACUGUUUUUGGUUGGGGCGACCGAGGGGAAAAACAAAUCCCCCAUAUCGACUGAGUAUUUAAUACUUAAAAAUCAGAGCGACAGCUCUGAUUAAUAAAACAUUUAUCGAAUAAAUGACCCAGAAUUUACUGAUCAAUGAACCAAGUUACCCUAGGGAUAACAGCGCAAUCCUUUCCCAGAGUCCCUAUCGACGAAAGGGUUUACGACCUCGAUGUUGGAUCAGGACAUCCUAAU
This 499-nucleotide ribosomal RNA is filed under the name Echinorhinus brucus (bramble shark). Its description in RNAcentral is "partial 16S ribosomal RNA". It matches the Rfam family "Bacterial large subunit ribosomal RNA", at positions 1860 to 2551 of the family's 2925-position model. The record is from RNAcentral. Lineage: Eukaryota; Metazoa; Chordata; Chondrichthyes; Echinorhiniformes; Echinorhinidae.